AAUAGAUACCCAGGUAGUCCAUGCCGUAAACGUUGGGAACUAGAUGUAGGGCCUGUUCCACGGGUUCUGUGUCGUAGCUAACGCAUUAAGUUCCCCGCCUGGGGAGUACGGGCCGCAAGGCUAAAACUCAAAGGAAUUGACGGGGGCCCGCACAAGCGGCGGAGCAUGCGGAUUAAUUCGAUGCAACGCGAAGAACCUUACCAAGGCUUGACAUAUAGAAGAACACUGCAGAGAUGCAGGACUCUUUGGACACUUCUAUACAGGUGGUGCAUGGUUGUCGUCAGCUCGUGUCGUGAGAUGUUCGGUUAAGUCCGGCAACGAGCGCAACCCUCGUCCUAUGUUGCCGGCACGUGAUGGUGGGAACUCAUGGGAUACUGCCGUGGUCAACACGGAGGAAGGUGGGGAUAACGUCAAAUCAUCAUGCCCCUUAUGUCUUGGGCUUCACGCAUGCUACAAUGGCCGGUACAAAGGGCUGCGAUACCGUAAGGUGGAGCGAAUCCCAAAAGCCGGUCUCGAGUUCGGAUUGGGUCUGC
This 533-nucleotide ribosomal RNA is filed under the name uncultured bacterium. Its description in RNAcentral is "bacterial SSU rRNA". It matches the Rfam family "Bacterial small subunit ribosomal RNA", at positions 777 to 1308 of the family's 1533-position model. The record is from RNAcentral.